AGCGAACGCUGGCGGCAUGCUUAACACAUGCAAGUCGCACGGGCGGGGGCAACUCCGGUCAGUGGCGGACGGGUGAGUAACGCGUAGGAAUCUAUCCUUGAAUGGGGGACAACCGUGGGAAACUACGGCUAAUACCGCAUGAUGCCUGAGGGCCAAAGACGAAAGUCGUUUGAGGAGGAGCCUGCGUCUGAUUAGGUAGUUGGUGGGGUAAAGGCCUACCAAGCCUGCGAUCAGUAGCUGGUCUGAGAGGAUGAUCAGCCACAUUGGGACUGAGACACGGCCCAAACUCCUACGGGAGGCAGCAGUGGGGAAUAUUGGACAAUGGGCGAAAGCCUGAUCCAGCAAUGCCGCGUGUGUGAAGAAGGUCUUCGGAUUGUAAAGCACUUUUGGCAGGGACGAUGAUGACGGUACCUGCAGAAUAAGCCCCGGCUAACUUCGUG
RNAcentral lists this ribosomal RNA (440 nucleotides) under uncultured bacterium. RNAcentral's name for it is "bacterial SSU rRNA". It matches the Rfam family "Bacterial small subunit ribosomal RNA", at positions 29 to 507 of the family's 1533-position model. The record is from RNAcentral.